Molecule: ribosomal RNA, 253 nt
Filed under: uncultured bacterium
Lineage: Bacteria
Description: partial 16S ribosomal RNA
Rfam family: Bacterial small subunit ribosomal RNA
Source: RNAcentral
UACGUAGGGCGCAAGCGUUAUCCGGAAUUAUUGGGCGUAAAGAGCUCGUAGGCGGUUAGGCGCGUCUGCCGUGAAAGUCCGGGGCUCAACUCCGGAUCUGCGGUGGGUACGGGCAGACUAGAGUGAUGUAGGGGAGACUGGAAUUCCUGGUGUAGCGGUGAAAUGCGCAGAUAUCAGGAGGAACACCGAUGGCGAAGGCAGGUCUCUGGGCAUUAACUGACGCUGAGGAGCGAAAGCAUGGGGAGCGAACAGG